GUGAGGAAUUUUCCGCAAUGGGCGAAAGCCUGACGGAGCAAUGCCGCGUGAAGGAUGAAGGCCUAUGGGUUGUAAACUUCUUUUCUCAGAAAAGAAUUAUGACGGUAUCUGAGGAAUAAGCAUCGGCUAACUCUGUGCCAGCAGCCGCGGUAAGACAGAGGAUGCAAGCGUUAUCCGGAAUGAUUGGGCGUAAAGCGUCUGUAGGUUGUUUAAAAAGUAUUCUGUCAAAGAUUAGGGCUUAACCCUAGAUAGGCAGAAUAAACUUUUAAGCUAGAGUUUGGUAGAGGCAGAGGGAAUUCCCGGUGGAGCGGUGAAAUGCGUAGAUAUCGGGAGGAACACCAAAGGAGAAGGCACUCUGCUGGGCAAAUACUAACACUGAGAGACGAAAGCGAGGGGAGCAAAUGGGAUUAGAUACCCGAGUAGUCC
This 426-nucleotide ribosomal RNA is filed under the name uncultured bacterium. Its description in RNAcentral is "partial 16S ribosomal RNA". It matches the Rfam family "Bacterial small subunit ribosomal RNA", at positions 354 to 796 of the family's 1533-position model. The record is from RNAcentral.